Molecule: ribosomal RNA, 1348 nt
Filed under: uncultured bacterium
Lineage: Bacteria
Description: partial 16S ribosomal RNA
Rfam family: Bacterial small subunit ribosomal RNA
Source: RNAcentral
AUUGAACGCUGGCGGCAGGCUUAACACAUGCAAGUCGAACGAAGAGGUCUAGCUUGCUAGACUGAUUAGUGGCGAACGGGUGAGUAACAUUUAGGAAUCUACCUUAUAGAGGGGGAUAGCUCGGGGAAACUCGAAUUAAUACCGCAUACGACCUAAGGGUGAAAGGGGGCAAUUGCUCUCGCUAUAAGAUGAGCCUAAACCAGAUUAGCUAGUUGGUGGGGUAAAGGCCUACCAAGGCGACGAUCUGUAGCUGGUCUGAGAGGAUGAUCAGCCACACUGGGACUGAGACACGGCCCAGACUCCUACGGGAGGCAGCAGUGGGGAAUAUUGGACAAUGGGCGAAAGCCUGAUCCAGCCAUGCCGCGUGUGUGAAGAAGGCCUUAUGGUUGUAAAGCACUUUAAGUGGGGAGGAAAAGCUUAUGGAUAACACCCAUAGGUUCUGACGUUACCCACAGAAUAAGCACCGGCUAACUCUGUGCCAGCAGCCGCGGUAAUACAGAGGGUGCGAGCGUUAAUCGGAAUUACUGGGCGUAAAGCGAGCGUAGGUGGUUUAUUAAGUCAGAUGUGAAAUCCCUGGGCUUAACCUAGGAACUGCAUCUGAUACUGAUAAACUAGAGUAGGUGAGAGGAAAGUAGAAUUCCAGGUGUAGCGGUGAAAUGCGUAGAGAUCUGGAGGAAUACCGAUGGCGAAGGCAGCUUUCUGGCAUCAUACUGACACUGAGGUUCGAAAGCGUGGGUAGCAAACAGGAUUAGAUACCCUGGUAGUCCACGCAGUAAACGAUGAUAACUGGGCGUAUGCGAUAUACAGUAUGCUCCUAAGCGAAAGCGUUAAGUUAUCCACCUGGGGAGUACGCCGGCAACGGUGAAACUCAAAGGAAUUGACGGGGGCCCGCACAAGCGGAGGAACAUGUGGUUUAAUUCGAUGAUACGCGAGGAACCUUACCCGGGAUUGAAAUGUAGAUGACCGCUCCUGAAAGGGAGUUUUCCUUCGGGACAUCUAUGUAGGUGCUGCAUGGUUGUCGUCAGCUCGUGCCGUGAGGUGUCGGCUUAAGUGCCAUAACGAGCGCAACCCCUGUCUACGGUUGCCAUCAGGUAAUGCUGGGAACUCCGUAGAGACUGCCGUCGUAAGGCGUGAGGAAGGUGGGGAUGACGUCAAAUCAGCACGGCCCUUACAUCCGGGGCGACACACGUGUUACAAUGGUAAGGACAAAGGGCAGCUACCUGGCGACAGGAUGCGAAUCUCUAAACCUUAUCACAGUUCGGAUCGGAGUCUGCAACUCGACUCCGUGAAGCUGGAUUCGCUAGUAAUCGCGCAUCAGCCAUGGCGCGGUGAAUACGUUCCCAGGCCU